This 282-nucleotide long non-coding RNA is filed under the name Dendronephthya gigantea. Its description in RNAcentral is "uncharacterized LOC114543429". The record is from RNAcentral. Lineage: Eukaryota; Metazoa; Cnidaria; Anthozoa; Malacalcyonacea; Nephtheidae.
AGGGAGAAAUACUUGAGAAUUCAGUGUUGCCACAUUUAGACCACAUUGCGAAAGAUCGGGAUAUUUUUGUGCAGAUCCGAGGUGUCCAGCUUCUGGUCGAUGUUAUUGCAUCCUCUGAUUCACCGAAAGUUUGCGAUGUUUUGCAUACAAUCGAGAAGAUUGCCACUGUCCAGUAGAUCCUCUCAAGCGAUACGUCAAGCCGUCGUGUAAAGAACAUGUAAGAAGAUUAGUGGUUAUAAAUUACAUUGGAGUGAACGAAAGGUUCCAGUGACGUUAGAGGUA